CCUACGAGCGGCAGCAGUGAGGAAUCUUGGUCAAUGGACGAGAGUCUGAACCAGCCAAGUAGCGUGAAGGAUUACUGCCCUAUGGGUUGUAAACUUCUUUUAUAUGGGAAUAAAACGUUCCACGUGUGGGAUUUUGUAUGUACCAUAUGAAUAAGGAGAGGCUAACUCCGUGCCAGCAGCCGCGGUAAUACGGAGGAUCCGAGCGUUAUCCGGAUUUAUUGGGUUGAAAGGGAGCGUAGGUGGAUUGUUAAGUCAGUUGUGAAAGUUUGCGGCUCAACCGUAAAAUUUCAGUUGAAACUGGCAGUCUUGAGUACAGUAGAGGUGGGCGGAAUUCGUGGUGUAGCGGUGAAAUGCUUAGAUAUCACGAAGAACUCCGAUUGCGAAGGCAGUUCACUGGACUGCAACUGACACUGAGGCUCGAAAGUGUGGGUAUCAAACAGGAUUAGAUACCCCUGUAGUC
RNAcentral lists this ribosomal RNA (460 nucleotides) under uncultured bacterium. Its description in RNAcentral is "partial 16S ribosomal RNA". It matches the Rfam family "Bacterial small subunit ribosomal RNA", at positions 338 to 795 of the family's 1533-position model. The record is from RNAcentral.